Long non-coding RNA from Spinacia oleracea (spinach), 1104 nucleotides. RefSeq lists it as uncharacterized. The record is from RefSeq and is a predicted model, not a curated record. The transcript is spliced from 4 exons. NCBI's taxonomy places the organism in Eukaryota, Viridiplantae, Streptophyta, Magnoliopsida, Caryophyllales, Amaranthaceae.
AUGUACAAAAAUUUCGUCGAACACCCCCCUGUUACUUCUUAAUACUCAAAACAACAAAACUCACCUCAAUUUACCGUCUUCCUCGCUUCACAACAAUUCCAUGGCGGGUUUUCAAAAAUGAAAAAAAUCACUUUGGAGGGAACUUGAAAAUGAAACCAGCGGAAAAAGGCGGCAAAAUACAUUAAACAUCAAAACCUCUCUCCCCUUUCACUCCACUUUUAGUCUCUAUUCUCCUCCUCUCACCACUCUUAUGGCGACCUCUUCGAAUCUCCGUCUUCUUCCAUCGGGACCUCGUUUCGACGAGCAGGGUUUUGAAGCAGCCAUUCAUGGAGGAUUACUCUGUCUCUUUGAAGCGCUUAAUUAGUAUGGUCACUGACUACUCUCGACCUGUCACUUUCUUUCUCUUCGAUCCCCGAUAAAUCUCAGAGCAACAUUGUGCAAAGGGCGUUAUUGAAAAUUGCUAUAGCAAAUUCAGCGUUUGGUAGUAGAAUCCUAGAAAAAUGGUACGCACCACUCGAGUAUUUAAUCCUAUUCAAAUAACUUUCAUGUUCACUAUUGUGUCAAAUGCACUUAUAUAACUCAUAGUAAUAUGCUAUUUUAAGAUUAUUUUUUUAGGGGUGAUCGAGGUUGCUAUAUCCCAAAGAAUAUACUUUAGGACAUUUGCUGGUUGUGCUUAUAGACAUAGUGUUCUUCAUAAGGAAAUAAAAGAAGACAAGGCUGCAACUGAAUAGAUGGAAGCAUUCAUCGUGGAGAUAACUCAGUACGUGAAUUUGUAUUGUGAUUAAAGAAGGUAUGGUAUGCGAGAUAUCGACGUUGCAAAGGGAAGCCCACUAACCCCACCAACUUCCGCAUGAGAUUUUGAUGAUUCGAGAUCCUCCUCUCUGGAUGUUUCUGGUCCUUCCAGCAGCUUGUUAAAGUUCAAGGCCACUGUUCAGUAAAGUUGAUUACUUUUUAGUAUUACUUUUGGGACUUGUAUACAAGUGAAUUUUGAGUUGAGAUAUAAAUUUUCUCAUUUGUAUUGCGAACAUACUUUUAAUCAGAAACACCACAUUUAUCUAUAUUGUAUUCUUUAUUGAUCAUUAGAGCUUUAAAAAAAAUUAAAAA